AAAGGGGAUGGCAGGGGGGUAUAAUGCAGGUCGACGCUUUGUGGUUCAACUGAUUUGAAGAGCUUGCUCAGAUAUGACGAUGGACAUUGCAAAGAGUGGCGAACGGGUGAGUAACACGUGGGAAACCUACCUCUUAGCAGGGGAUAACAUUUGGAAACAGAUGCUAAUACCGUAUAACAAUGACAACCGCAUGGUUGUUAUUUAAAAGAUGGUUCUGCUAUCACUAAGAGAUGGUCCCGCGGUGCAUUAGCUAGUUGGUAAGGUAAUGGCUUACCAAGGCGAUGAUGCAUAGCCGAGUUGAGAGACUGAUCGGCCACAAUGGGACUGAGACACGGCCCAUACUCCUACGGGAGGCAGCAGUAGGGAAUCUUCCACAAUGGGCGAAAGCCUGAUGGAGCAACGCCGCGUGUGUGAUGAAGGGUUUCGGCUCGUAAAACACUGUUGUAAGAGAAGAAUGACAUUGAGAGUAACUGUUCAAUGUGUGACGGUAUCUUACCAGAAAGGAACGGCUAAAUACGUGCCAGCAGCCGCGGUAAUACGUAUGUUCCAAGCGUUAUCCGGAUUUAUUGGGCGUAAAGCGAGCGCAGACGGUUAUUUAAGUCUGAAGUGAAAGCCCUCAGCUCAACUGAGGAAUUGCUUUGGAAACUGGAUGACUUGAGUGCAGUAGAGGAAAGUGGAACUCCAUGUGUAGCGGUGAAAUGCGUAGAUAUAUGGAAGAACACCAGUGGCGAAGGCGGCUUUCUGGACUGUAACUGACGUUGAGGCUCGAAAGUGUGGGUAGCAAACAGGAUUAGAUACCCUGGUAGUCCACACCGUAAACGAUGAGUGCUAGGUGUUUGAGGGUUUCCGCCCUUAAGUGCCGCAGCUAACGCAUUAAGCACUCCGCCUGGGGAGUACGACCGCAAGGUUGAAACUCAAAGGAAUUGACGGGGACCCGCACAAGCGGUGGAGCAUGUGGUUUAAUUCGAAGCAACGCGAAGAACCUUACCAGGUCUUGACAUCCCUUGACAACUCCAGAGAUGGGAGCGUUCCCUUCGGGGGACAAGGUGACAGGUGGUGCAUGGUUUGUCGUCAGCUCGUGUCGUGAGAUGUUUGGGUUUAAGUCCCGCACGAGCGCAACCCUUUAUUUACUAGCUGGCCAGCAUUUCAGUUUGGGCCACUCUAGUGAGACCUGACCGAUGACAACCGGCAGGAAGGGUGGGGGAAUGAACCGU
Molecule: ribosomal RNA, 1214 nt
Filed under: Weissella confusa
Lineage: Bacteria; Bacillati; Bacillota; Bacilli; Lactobacillales; Lactobacillaceae
Description: bacterial SSU rRNA
Rfam family: Bacterial small subunit ribosomal RNA
Source: RNAcentral